CCUACGGGAGGCAGCAGUGGGGAAUUUUGGACAAUGGGCGCAAGCCUGAUCCAGCCAUGCCGCGUGCGGGAAGAGGGCCUUCGGGUUGUAAACCGCUUUUGUCAGGGAAGAAAAGGUUCUGGUUAAUACCUGGGACUCAUGACGGUACCUGAAGAAUAAGCACCGGCUAACUACGUGCCAGCAGCCGCGGUAAUACGUAGGGUGCAAGCGUUAAUCGGAAUUACUGGGCGUAAAGCGUGCGCAGGCGGUUAUGCAAGACAGAGGUGAAAUCCCCGGGCUCAACCUGGGAACUGCCUUUGUGACUGCAUAGCUAGAGUGCGGCAGAGGGGGAUGGAAUUCCGCGUGUAGCAGUGAAAUGCGUAGAUAUGCGGAGGAACACCGAUGGCGAAGGCAAUCCCCUGGGCCUGCACUGACGCUCAUGCACGAAGACGGUGGGGAGGACGAAACAGGAGUUAGUACUACCCUACGGUAGUCCGACCGACCCUAAACCGAACUAGUCUAAC
Molecule: ribosomal RNA, 503 nt
Filed under: uncultured bacterium
Lineage: Bacteria
Description: bacterial SSU rRNA
Rfam family: Bacterial small subunit ribosomal RNA
Source: RNAcentral